This 955-nucleotide ribosomal RNA is filed under the name Salmonella enterica subsp. enterica serovar Baildon. RNAcentral describes it as "bacterial LSU rRNA". It matches the Rfam family "Bacterial large subunit ribosomal RNA", at positions 1223 to 2162 of the family's 2925-position model. Lineage: Bacteria; Pseudomonadati; Pseudomonadota; Gammaproteobacteria; Enterobacterales; Enterobacteriaceae. The record is from RNAcentral.
GUUGGGUAGGGGAGCGUUCUGUAAGCCUGUGAAGGUGGCCUGUGAGGGUUGCUGGAGGUAUCAGAAGUGCGAAUGCUGACAUAAGUAACGAUAAAGCGGGUGAAAAGCCCGCUCGCCGGAAGACCAAGGGUUCCUGUCCAACGUUAAUCGGGGCAGGGUGAGUCGACCCCUAAGGCGAGGCCGAAAGGCGUAGUCGAUGGGAAACGGGUUAAUAUUCCCGUACUUGGUGUUACUGCGAAGGGGGGACGGAGAAGGCUAUGUUGGCCGGGCGACGGUUGUCCCGGUUUAAGCGUGUAGGCUGGUUUUCCAGGCAAAUCCGGAAAAUCAAGGCUGAGGCGUGACGACGAGGCACUACGGUGCUGAAGCAACAAAUGCCCUGCUUCCAGGAAAAGCCUCUAAGCAUCAGGUAACAUCAAAUCGUACCCCAAACCGACACAGGUGGUCAGGUAGAGAAUACCAAGGCGCUUGAGAGAACUCGGGUGAAGGAACUAGGCAAAAUGGUGCCGUAACUUCGGGAGAAGGCACGCUGACAUGUAGGUGAAGUGAUUUACUCAUGGAGCUGAAGUCAGUCGAAGAUACCAGCUGGCUGCAACUGUUUAUUAAAAACACAGCACUGUGCAAACACGAAAGUGGACGUAUACGGUGUGACGCCUGCCCGGUGCCGGAAGGUUAAUUGAUGGGGUCAGCGCAAGCGAAGCUCCUGAUCGAAGCCCCGGUAAACGGCGGCCGUAACUAUAACGGUCCUAAGGUAGCGAAAUUCCUUGUCGGGUAAGUUCCGACCUGCACGAAUGGCGUAAUGAUGGCCAGGCUGUCUCCACCCGAGACUCAGUGAAAUUGAACUCGCUGUGAAGAUGCAGUGUACCCGCGGCAAGACGGAAAGACCCCGUGAACCUUUACUAUAGCUUGACACUGAACAUUGAGCCUUGAUGUGUAGGAUAGGUGGGAGGCUUUGAAG